RNAcentral lists this long non-coding RNA (374 nucleotides) under Notechis scutatus (mainland tiger snake). RNAcentral describes it as "lncRNA (ENSNSUG00000000504.1)". The record is from RNAcentral. Lineage: Eukaryota; Metazoa; Chordata; Lepidosauria; Squamata; Elapidae.
CCUCUGCUCCUUACCCCCCGCAGGCCGAGUUCCUGGACGUCAGCCGGCUCUCCUUCCUUCCGGACCUCGGCCCCAAAGGCUUAGAAGGCCUGAUCCUGAAGCGGUCCGGGGGCCACCGCAUCCAGGGCCUGCACUGCGUGGGCCACCACCAGGUCUGCUACCGCUGGUCCAAGAGGUGGCUGGUGGUGAAGGACGCCUUCCUCCUCUACCUGAAGCCGGAGUCGGGCGUCAUCUCCUGCGUGCUCCUCUUCGACCCGGCCUUCAGCGUCCAGGUGGGCAAGAAGCCCACGGAGGCCAAGUACGGCGUCCGGGUGGACAACAGUUGCCGGUCAGUCCAGUCGGGGGGAGGGGGGGCAAAGGGUGGGGGGGUCCAG